AAUAUGGCUAGUGGGUGUAAAAGAUAAAUAUUAUUCUAUCUGUUCUUCAUGAGUUUUAGAUAAUUUUAGUUGUAUUUCUUUGUAAUUUUGUGUUGUACAAAGAUUAAUUUAACAUUUUCUCUGGAAGUAUUAAUUUAGAAAGAUAAUAUGCUUCAUUGGUGUUGUGUUUUGAAGUGUGAAAUGCAAAGUAAUUGUGAUAAAGUCAAGAUAAAGUUCACUUUUAAACUGAACUAAAUAAGGUAUCUGAGAGACAACAAUGGUUAAAUGCAAUAAAAUGUACAGGUUUUACUAGCGAAAUGAAAAUUCUCCUGUCUGCUGUAAUCAUUUUAUAUCUGGAAAAUAGGAAAACCAGCCGACUUAAUCGAUAAUAACAAUCUCCAGAUUGGGUUCCUUCAAUAAAUAUGGGCUAUAAACACAAUGAAAUAAGUUCCCCAAAAUCUAAAAUGGAGUGGUAUCAAAGGAGAAUUAAGGAAAAAAUAUUCAUAUUGAAAUUAUUUAUAAGGCACUGGACUGUCUUAAAUUCUACAAUAAUACUAGAAUCAGCUGAGAGAAGUGGUCUACAAAAAACCAGGAAGGAAACGGAAUAUGUGGCUACGAAAGGCAAAAGAAAGGUUUACAAAGCAAAUGUGACACAUUUUUUUGAAAUAUUUAGGAAUAUCAGUAAAUUGCAUUAAAAAAAUGUAUGAAAAGAUUUUG
Diabrotica virgifera virgifera (western corn rootworm) is the source of this 696-nucleotide long non-coding RNA. RefSeq lists it as uncharacterized. NCBI's taxonomy places the organism in Eukaryota, Metazoa, Arthropoda, Insecta, Coleoptera, Chrysomelidae. The transcript is spliced from 3 exons. The record is from RefSeq and is a predicted model, not a curated record.